This 329-nucleotide unclassified non-coding RNA is filed under the name soil metagenome. RNAcentral describes it as "partial contains 5.8S ribosomal RNA, internal transcribed spacer 2, and large subunit ribosomal RNA". The stretch from base 1 to 120 matches the Rfam family "5.8S ribosomal RNA", at positions 35 to 154 of the family's 154-position model. The record is from RNAcentral.
GAUGAAGAACGUAGCGAAAUGCGAUAAGUAAUGUGAAUUCCAGAAUUCAGUGAAUCAUCGAAUCUUUGAACGCACAUUGCGCCCCUUGGUAUUCCGAGGGGCAUGCCUGUUCGAGCGUCAUUAUAACCCCUCAAGCUCAGCUUGGUGUUGGGGCCUGCUGCACUGGCAGCCCUUAAAAUCAGUGGCGGCGCCAUCUGGCUCUAAGCGUAGUAAUUCUUCUCGCUAUGGAGUCCUGGUGGAUGCUUGCCAUCAACCCCCAAUUUUUCUAUGGUUGACCUCGGAUCAGGUAGGGAUACCCGCUGAACUUAAGCAUAUCAAUAAGCGGAGGA